UACGUAGGGGGCUAGCGUUGUCCGGAAUCAUUGGGCGUAAAGAGCGUGUAGGCGGCCCGGUAAGUCCGCUGUGAAAGUCGGGGGGCUCAACCCUCGAAUGCCGGUGGAUACUGUCGGGCUAGAGUGCGGAAGAGGCGAGUGGAAUUCCUGGUGUAGCGGUGAAAUGCGCAGAUAUCAGGAGGAACACCAAUUGCGAAGGCAGCUCGCUGGGACGUAACUGACGCUGGAGACGCGAAAGCGUGGGGAGCAAACAGG
This 255-nucleotide ribosomal RNA is filed under the name uncultured bacterium. Its description in RNAcentral is "partial 16S ribosomal RNA". It matches the Rfam family "Bacterial small subunit ribosomal RNA", at positions 524 to 776 of the family's 1533-position model. The record is from RNAcentral.